This 497-nucleotide ribosomal RNA is filed under the name uncultured bacterium. RNAcentral describes it as "partial 16S ribosomal RNA". It matches the Rfam family "Bacterial small subunit ribosomal RNA", at positions 28 to 507 of the family's 1533-position model. The record is from RNAcentral.
GAUGAACGCUGGCGGCGUGCUUAACACAUGCAAGUCGAGCGAAAAGACGAGGAGCUUGCUCCUCUGACGUUAGCGGCGGACGGGUGAGUAACACGUGGAUAACCUACCUAUAUGACUGGGAUAACUUCGGGAAACCGGCGCUAAUACCGGAUAAUAUAUUGCACCGUAUGGUUCAAUAGUGAAAGACGGUUUUGCUGUCACUUAUAGAUGGAUCCGCGCCGCAUUAGCUAGUUGGUAAGGUAACGGCUUACCAAGGCAACGAUGCGUAGCCGACUUGAGAGGGUGAUCGGCCACACGGGAGGUGAAACACUGUCAAGACGACUACGAGAGGCAGCAGUAGGGAAUCUGACGCAAUGGGCGAGAACCUGACGGAGCAACGCCGCGUGGGUGAUGAAGGUCUUCGGAUCGGAAAACUCUGUUAUGAGGGAUGAACAAAUGUGUAAGUAACUAUGCACGUCUUGACGGUACCUAAUCAGAAAGCCACGGCUAACUACGUG